Molecule: long non-coding RNA, 856 nt
Organism: Drosophila pseudoobscura
Lineage: Eukaryota; Metazoa; Arthropoda; Insecta; Diptera; Drosophilidae
Exons: 2
Source: RefSeq, a predicted model, not a curated record
CAUAUAUGUAUAUGCAGGCGGCAAAGCCUACUCAUCCGUCUGUUAAAUUUUUUUCAUUUUAAAAUAAUUUUUUUGCGAUAACAAAUUUGAAAUUGGUGACAGCAUAGCCAGCCACUGCAAGCGCCGCUGCCACGCCCCGCAAAAAGAGACACACACAUGUGCAUGUGCAUGACUUGCGCGCAAGCCGUAGUUUUCGUGGGGAGGAUAUUAAGCAGCGUCAAAAGCGCCCCGCCCAAAGCAGCAGACACAUACAAGCAGGCGUAUAAAAAAACGAAGUAAAAAAAUGCCGGCCGGCACGCUCAGGUAGGGAGAGGGAGCAAAAGAAAAGCUUUAACCUCACACACACAUAAAAGGAAACAGCGACAAAGGCGCUUCAACAGCUGCGUUUUACAAGGGGCGAGAGGGAGAGAGGUAUAAAAGCCAAACCUAACGGAAGCGCAGUCAACAAAAAAAAACCAGUUAAGUGCUUUUUCUACUCUCUUCUGUCUUCGGCUUCUUCUUGCAGAUUUCUUUUGGCCGUCUGCCACAAUGGAAGGAGAAUUGAAAAGAAAUUGCCGGCCCACAAUAUAAGGGGAGGGGGGCGGAGGCGGAUGAGAAUUAAAAUAAAUUAAAUGUUAGGCUCACCUUAAGUUGUUUUUUGUUUGCUUUGGAUUCACAAAAAAAAGAUACCGGUGAGGUGUAGCUAUCUGGCUAGGUUUGGUUGGCUCUGCUCUAUAUAUAUUUAUAUAUAAGCGGUAUACACUAUGCAAAUUUUUACACUUGAUUUCAGAAAUUUAUUUUCAUUCAAUUCGGCCGCGGAGAGCACAAGCUAACUAGAUGGACGACGUCAAAACUGGAUUUGAAUCAAUUUUAAAAA